GGUGGUGCAUGGUCGUCGUCAGCUCGUGUCGUGAGAUGUUGGGUUAAGUCCCGCAACGAGCGCAACCCUUGUUACUAGUUGCCAGCAUUAAGUUGGGCACUCUAGUGAGACUGCCGGUGACAAACCGGAGGAAGGUGGGGACGACGUCAGAUCAUCAUGCCCCUUAUGACCUGGGCUACACACGUGCUACAAUGGACGGUACAACGAGUCGCGAACUCGCGAGGGCAAGCAAAUCUCUUAAAACCGUUCUCAGUUCGGACUGCAGGCUGCAACUCGCCUGCACGAAGUCGGAAUCGCUAGUAAUCGCGGAUCAGCAUGCCGCGGUGAAUACGUUCCCGGGCCUUGUACAC
Molecule: ribosomal RNA, 350 nt
Filed under: uncultured Lactobacillus sp.
Lineage: Bacteria; Bacillati; Bacillota; Bacilli; Lactobacillales; Lactobacillaceae
Description: bacterial SSU rRNA
Rfam family: Bacterial small subunit ribosomal RNA
Source: RNAcentral